UCGGGAAUUUUGGGCAAUGGGCGAAAGCCUGACCCAGCAACGCCGCGUGAAGGAUGAAGUAUUUCGGUAUGUAAACUUCGAAAGAAUAGGAAGAAUAAAUGACGGUACUAUUUAUAAGGUCCGGCUAACUACGUGCCAGCAGCCGCGGUAAUACGUAGGGACCAAGCGUUGUUCGGAUUUACUGGGCGUAAAGGGUGCGUAGGUUGUUUGAUAAGAUAUAUGUGAAAUACCUGGGCUCAACCUGGGAAGGUCAUAUAAGACUGUCAGACUCGAGUAUGGGAGAGGGUAGAGGAAUUUCCGGUGUAGCGGUGAAAUGCGUAGAUAUCGGAAGGAACAUCGGUGGCGAAGGCGUCUACCUGGCCUAAUACUGACACUGAGGCACGAAAGCGUGGGGAGCAAACAGGAUUAGAUACCCUGGUAGUCCCUGAGCGGGCUGGCAAGGCGCAU
RNAcentral lists this ribosomal RNA (447 nucleotides) under uncultured bacterium. Its description in RNAcentral is "bacterial SSU rRNA". It matches the Rfam family "Bacterial small subunit ribosomal RNA", at positions 355 to 825 of the family's 1533-position model. The record is from RNAcentral.